UACGCCUACGGGGCGCAGCAGUGGGGAAUAUUGCACAAUGGGGGAAACCCUGAUGCAGCGACGCCGCGUGAGUGAAGAAGUAUUUCGGUAUGUAAAGCUCUAUCAGCAGGAACGAGACAAGACGGUACCUGACUAAGAAGCCCCGGCUAACUACGUGCCAGCAGCCGCGGUAAUACGUAGGGGGCAAGCGUUAUCCGGAAUCACUGGGUGUAAAGGGAGCGUAGACGGCCAAGCAAGCCAGGGGUGAAAGCCCGGGGCCCAACCCCGGGACUGCCCUUGGAACUGCUUGGCUGGAGUGCGGGAGG
Molecule: ribosomal RNA, 305 nt
Filed under: uncultured bacterium
Lineage: Bacteria
Description: bacterial SSU rRNA
Rfam family: Bacterial small subunit ribosomal RNA
Source: RNAcentral